GGAAGAUGCCGCGCAGGGCGCAAAGCGGUCUUGAAAACCGUGGCAGUCAGGGAUGGCUGAUGGUUCGAUUCCUUCAUCUUCCGCCA
RNAcentral lists this transfer RNA (86 nucleotides) under Pseudoduganella chitinolytica. RNAcentral's name for it is "Telluria chitinolytica tRNA-OTHER". Lineage: Bacteria; Pseudomonadati; Pseudomonadota; Betaproteobacteria; Burkholderiales; Oxalobacteraceae. The record is from RNAcentral. RNAcentral also lists the same sequence under 1 other name.